This 1243-nucleotide ribosomal RNA is filed under the name uncultured marine eukaryote. Its description in RNAcentral is "SSU rRNA". It matches the Rfam family "Eukaryotic small subunit ribosomal RNA", at positions 576 to 1806 of the family's 1831-position model. The record is from RNAcentral.
UCGGUAAUUCCAGCUCCAAUAGCGUAUAUUAAAGUUGUUGCAGUUAAAAAGCUCGUAGUUGGAUUUCUGACAGCGCAGACCUCCCUCUCCAAGCCCUCUGCUUUCCUUCCUUCUGGGGAGGUUUGUGGGGGGAGAUGGGUGGGAAACGACGCGGUGUCAUCCUCUCGGAGACGUCAUGUGCUCUUAAUUGGGUGUGUGAGCCGGAUCCGGGAUCUUUACUUUGAAAAAAUUAGAGUGUUCAAAGCAGGCCUUCGCUUGAAUACAUUAGCAUGGAAUAAUAGAAUAGGACUUUGGUUCUGUUUUGUUGGUUUAUAGGACCGAAGUAAUGAUUAAUAGGGAUAGUUGGGGGCAUUAGUAUUUAAUUGUCAGAGGUGAAAUUCUUGGAUUUAUGAAAGACUAACAUCUGCGAAAGCAUUUGCCAAGGAUGUUUUCAUUAAUCAAGAACGAAAGUUAGGGGAUCGAAGACGAUCAGAUACCGUCGUAGUCUUAACCAUAAACUAUGCCGACUAGGGAUCGGUGGGUUCAUUUUAUAGGCCCAUCGGCACCUUAUGGGAAACCAAAGUUUUUGGGUUCCGGGGGGAGUAUGGUCGCAAGGCUGAAACUUAAAGGAAUUGACGGAAGGGCGCCACCAGGAGUGGAGCCUGCGGCUUAAUUUGACCCAACACGGGAAAACUCACCAGGUCCAGACAUAGGAAGGAUUGACAGAUUGAGAGCUCUUUCUUGAUUCUAUGGUUGGUGGUGCAUGGCCGUUCUUAGUUGGUGGAGUGAUUUGUCUGGUUAAUUCCGUUAACGAACGAGACCUUAACCUGCUAAAUAGAGUUGCGAUUCUCGAAUCGUAGACUACUUCUUAGAGGGACUAUCGGCGUUUAGUCGGUGGAAGUUUGAGGCAAUAACAGGUCUGUGAUGCCCUUAGAUGUUCUGGGCUGCACGCGCGCUACACUGACGAGAGCAACGAGUGUACCUGCUCUGGAAAGAGUGGGCAAUCUUUUGAAAUCUCGUCGUGAUGGGGAUAGAUCUUUGUAAUUAUCGAUCUUGAACGAGGAAUUCCUAGUAAGCGCGAUUCAUCAAAUCGCGUUGAUUACGUCCCUGCCCUUUGUACACACCGCCCGUCGCUACUACCGAUUGAAUGGUUUAGUGAGGCCUCGGGAUUGACAAAUGGGAGUUAGCAAUAACUCCCUAUUGUUCGAGAACUUGGUCAAACUUGAUCAUUUAGAGGAAGUAAAAGUCGUAACAAGGUAGCCGU